AAUUAAUUAGACAUCCACCCUAUAUGCGAUAUUCGCAUAAAUCAACCAUUGAGCUACUACCUCUUAGUACGUUCAACCGAUUAAUGGUGUUAAACAUAUUUUGGGGUCCAUCAUAGUGUUUUAGCAGUUUCUAUCUCAUAUCAUUAGAUAGCUACUCAAAGUUUAAAUUCAUAUAUCUGAAGUACAAAUUUUGUAGUGAUUAUCUGGCU
Non-coding RNA from Schizosaccharomyces pombe (fission yeast), 209 nucleotides. The record is from the annotation of a GenBank genome assembly. Lineage: Eukaryota; Fungi; Ascomycota; Schizosaccharomycetes; Schizosaccharomycetales; Schizosaccharomycetaceae.